RNAcentral lists this non-coding RNA (31 nucleotides) under Homo sapiens (human). Lineage: Eukaryota; Metazoa; Chordata; Mammalia; Primates; Hominidae. The record is from RNAcentral.
UAGGUGGGGCACAGACAUAGCCAGGAAUGUC